GAUGAACGCUGGCGGCGUGCCUAAUACAUGCAAGUCGAACGCUGGAAAUCUAGCUUGCUAGCUUGAAGGAGUGGCGAACGGGUGAGUAAUACAUAAGCAACCUACCCACGAAGACUGGGAUAAUCUCUGGAAACGGGGACUAAUACCGGAUAGGUAAUCGGAAGGCAUCUUCUGAUUAUUAAAGGUUAAAAACACUGGUGGAUGGGCUUAUGGCGCAUUAGUUAGUUGGUGAGGUAACGGCCCACCAAGACGAUGAUGCGUAGCCGGCCUGAGAGGGUGAACGGCCACAUUGGGACUGAGACACGGCCCAGACUCCUACGGGAGGCAGCAGUAGGGAAUUUUCGGCAAUGGGGGAAACCCUGACCGAGCAACGCCGCGUGAGUGAUGACGGCCUUCGGGUUGUAAAGCUCUGUUGUAAGGGAAGAACGGUAGAUAGAGAAUAUCUAAAGGACGGUACCUUACCAGAAAGCCACGGCUAACUACGU
This 485-nucleotide ribosomal RNA is filed under the name uncultured bacterium. RNAcentral's name for it is "partial 16S ribosomal RNA". It matches the Rfam family "Bacterial small subunit ribosomal RNA", at positions 28 to 506 of the family's 1533-position model. The record is from RNAcentral.